UCACUUCGGUGGUGAUUAAAGUGGCGCACGGGUGAGUAACGCGUAGACAAUCUGCCCUUCAGUCUGGGACAACUUUUCGAAAGGAGAGCUAAUACCGGAUAACAAUGUUUGACAUAAGUUAAAUAUUUGAAAGCUUUAUGUGCUGAAGGAGGGGUCUGCGUCCCAUUAGCUAGUUGGUGAGGUAAAGGCUUACCAAGGCAACGAUGGGUAGCGGGUUUGAGAGGACGAUCCGUCACACUGGAACUGAGACACGGUCCAGACUCCUACGGGAGGCAGCAGUGGGGAAUAUUGCACAAUGGAGGAAACUCUGAUGCAGCAAUGUCGCGUGAGUGAAGAAGGCCCUUGGGUCGUAAAGCUCUUUUAUGGGGGAAGAUGAUGACGGUACCCCAGGAAUAAGCACCGGCUAACUACGUGCCAGCAGCCGCGGUAAUACGUAGGGUGCGAGCGUUGUUCGGAAUUACUGGGCGUAAAGGGCGCGCAGGCGGAAUAGCAAGUCGGAGGUGAAAGCCCGGGGCUCAACCCCGGAGGGUCUUUCGAAACUGCUAAUCUAGAGAGGGUCAGGGGCCAGCAGAAUUCCUGGUGUAGAGGUGAAAUUCGUAGAUAUCAGGAGGAAUACCGGUGGCGAAAGCGGCUGGCUGGGGCCACUCUGACGCUGAGGCGCGAAAGCGUGGGGAGCAAACGGGAUUAGAUACCCCGGUAGUCCACGCCGUAAACGAUGAGCACUGGACGUCCGGAGGGUUCGACCCUUCUGGGUGUUCAGCUAACG
RNAcentral lists this ribosomal RNA (766 nucleotides) under uncultured SAR324 cluster bacterium. Its description in RNAcentral is "SSU rRNA". It matches the Rfam family "Bacterial small subunit ribosomal RNA", at positions 75 to 857 of the family's 1533-position model. The record is from RNAcentral. Lineage: Bacteria; Deltaproteobacteria.